GUAGGUGGCAAGCGUUGUCCGGAAUUAUUGGGCGUAAAGCGCGCGCAGGUGGUUCUUUAAGUCUGAUGUGAAAGCCCCCGGGCUCAACCGGGGAGGGUCAUUGGAAACUGGGGAACUUGAGUGCAGGAGAGGAAAGUGGAAUACCACGUGUAGCGGUGAAAUGCGUAGAUAUGUGGAGGAACACCAGUGGCGAAGGCGACUUUCUGGCCUGUAACUGACACUGAGGCGCGAAAGCGUGGGGAGCAAACAGGAUUAGAUACCCUGGUAGUCCACGCCGUAAACGAUGAGUGCUAAGUGUUGGGGGGUUUCCGCCCCUCAGUGCUGCAGCUAACGCAUUAAGCACUCCGCCUGGGGAGUACGGUCGCAAAGACUG
Molecule: ribosomal RNA, 373 nt
Filed under: uncultured organism
Description: partial 16S ribosomal RNA
Rfam family: Bacterial small subunit ribosomal RNA
Source: RNAcentral